Molecule: ribosomal RNA, 495 nt
Filed under: uncultured bacterium
Lineage: Bacteria
Description: partial 16S ribosomal RNA
Rfam family: Bacterial small subunit ribosomal RNA
Source: RNAcentral
GAUGAACGCUAGCGGGAGGCCUAACACAUGCAAGCCGAGCGGUAUUGUUUCUUCGGAAAUGAGAGAGCGGCGUACGGGUGCGGAACACGUGUGCAACCUGCCUUUAUCUGGGGGAUAGCCUUUCGAAAGGAAGAUUAAUACUCCAUAAUAUAUUGAACGGCAUCGUUUAAUAUUGAAAGCUCCUGCGGAUAGAGAUGGGCACGCGCAAGAUUAGCUAGUUGGUGAGGUAACGGCUCACCAAGGCAAUGAUCUUUAGGGGGCCUGAGAGGGUGAUCCCCCACACUGGUACCGAGACACGGACCAGACUCCUACGGGAGGCAGCAGUGAGGAAUAUUGGUCAAUGGGUGCAAGCCUGAACCAGCCAUCCCGCGUGAAGGACGACUGCCCUAUGGGUUGUAAACUUCUUUUGUAUAGGGAUAAACCUUUCCACGUGUGGAAAGCUGAAGGUACUAUACGAAUAAGCACCGGCUAACUCCGUGCCAGCCGCCGCAGUAA